Molecule: long non-coding RNA, 1149 nt
Organism: Schistocerca gregaria
Lineage: Eukaryota; Metazoa; Arthropoda; Insecta; Orthoptera; Acrididae
Exons: 2
Source: RefSeq, a predicted model, not a curated record
AAUUAAUAUUAAUCAAUAUAACAAAAAAUAUUUUAACCAUAUGGUCCUUUCGUACUAAUAUGGAUUAACAAUCUUAGGACAGAAACCGACCUGGCUCACGCCGGUCUGAACUCAGAUCAUGUAAGAAUUUAAAGGUCGAACAGACCUAAUCAUUGGGCUCCUGCACCCAAAAUUUUUCUUAAUCCAACAUCGAGGUCGCAAUCUGCUUUGUCGAUAUGAGCUCUCAAAAACAAUUACGCUGUUAUCCCUAAGGUAACUUAAUCUUAUGAUCAUAAAUUAUGGAUCAAAAUAACAAACAUAAAUAAAUGAUAUAAUAAUGAAGAGUUUAUCUAUUCUUCAUGUCACCCCAACAAAACAUCAUCAUUAAAUAUAGAAAGACAAACAAAAAACUAUAUAAAAGUAAAAUGUCAAGCUCUAUAGGGUCUUCUCGUCCUAAAGAAGAAUUUAAGCCUUUUGACUCAAAAGUUAAAUUCAAAAAUUUAUUAAGAGACAGUUGGUUUCUCGUCAAGCCAUUCAUUCCAGCCACUAAUUAAGAGACUAAUGAUUAUGCUACCUUUGCACGGUCAAAAUACCGCGGCUCUUUAAAAAUACGCUCAGUGAGCAGGCCAGACCUCAAAAUAUAAACAAGAGGACAUGUUUUUGAUAAACAGGCGGAAAUCAAUUUUGCCUAGUUCCUUAUAAUAAGUUCACAAGGUAAAAAUUUCAUACAAAUAAAUAUACUAAUUCUAUCAUUAUUACAAAAAUUUUAAAAUUAAAUUAAUAAUCUUAAUAAAAAACCUAAAAUAUUUAUAAAAUCAAAAUAAAAAAUAAUGAACUAAAACGUAAUCUUAAAGAUAGCUGGUUUAAAGCUUACUAUUAUAUUUCUAUAAAAUAAAUUAUAGGUUAUUAACUUCAAAGCUUAUCCCUUAAAGAAUAAAUAAGUUAAUAUUUUUACUUAAAAAAUUAAAUAAAAACAAAUAACUUUAAAAAAUUAAAUUUUUUCUUAAGAAACUAGAUAUCUUGGGAAACGAUUAACAUCUCAUUUCUAUAAAUAAUUUAAUAAUAAUUAUGAUACAUUAACUAUAAAUUAUUUAUAAAUCAACCCAAAUCGAGACAAGUAAAAUAAAUACUAAAAUUUUGAUAAACCCUGAUACAAAAGGUACAAUAAAU